This 329-nucleotide unclassified non-coding RNA is filed under the name soil metagenome. RNAcentral's name for it is "partial contains 5.8S ribosomal RNA, internal transcribed spacer 2, and large subunit ribosomal RNA". The stretch from base 1 to 120 matches the Rfam family "5.8S ribosomal RNA", at positions 35 to 154 of the family's 154-position model. The record is from RNAcentral.
GAUGAAGAACGUAGUGAAAUGCGAUAAGUAAUGUGAAUUGCAGAAUUCAGUGAAUCAUCGAAUCUUUGAACGCACAUUGCGCCCUCUGGUAUUCCGGGGGGCAUGCCUGUUCGAGCGUCAUUAUAACCACUCAAGCUCUCGCUUGGUAUUGGGGUUCGCGGUUCCGCGGCCCCUAAAAUCAGUGGCGGUGCCUGUCGGCUCUACGCGUAGUAAUACUCCUCGCGAUUGAGUCCGGUAGGUCUACUCGCCAGCAACCCCCAAUUUUUACAGGUUGACCUCGGAUCAGGUAGGGAUACCCGCUGAACUUAAGCAUAUCAAUAAGCGGAGGA